AAGUCGUAACAAGGUUUCCGUAGGUGAACCUGCGGAAGGAUCAUUACAUUCAGUAGCCUAGCUACUUGUUUAUACCCUUGUUUUUUGCGUACCUAUUGUUUCCUCGGCGGGCUUGCCUGCCGGUUGGACAACACUAUAACCUUUUUUAAAUCUUCAAUCAGCGUCUGAAUUAUACAUAAUAAUUACAACUUUCAACAACGGAUCUCUUGGUUCUG
Molecule: unclassified non-coding RNA, 215 nt
Filed under: Phaeosphaeria podocarpi
Lineage: Eukaryota; Fungi; Ascomycota; Dothideomycetes; Pleosporales; Phaeosphaeriaceae
Description: partial internal transcribed spacer region
Rfam family: Eukaryotic small subunit ribosomal RNA (bases 1-46)
Source: RNAcentral